Molecule: ribosomal RNA, 464 nt
Filed under: uncultured bacterium
Lineage: Bacteria
Description: partial 16S ribosomal RNA
Rfam family: Bacterial small subunit ribosomal RNA
Source: RNAcentral
GACGAACGCUGGCGGCGUGCUUAACACAUGCAAGUCGAACGGAAAGGCCCAGCUUUCUGUGUGCUCGCGUGGCGAACGGGCGAGUAACACGUGGGUGAUCUGCCCCUAUCUUCGGGAUAAGCUUGGGCAACUGGGUCUAGUACCGGAUAGGACAAUCGUUUAAUGGCGGGUGUGGAUAGUUUUUUCGGGUUGUGAUGAGACCGCUGCUUAUCAGCUUGUUGGUGAGGUAAUGGCCUACGAAGGCGGCGACGGGUAGCCGGCCUGAGAGGGUGGACGGCCACAUUGGGACUGAGGUACGGACCAGAAGCCUACGGGAGGCAGCAGUGGGGAAUAUUGCGCAAUGAGCGCAAGCCUGAUGCAGAGACGCUGCGUGGGUGAUGACGGCCUUCUGGUUGUAAACCUCUUUCGACAGGGACGAAGCCUUCGUGACGGUACCUAUAUAAAAAGCCCCGGCUAACUACGUG